AGAACGAACGCUGGCGGCAUGCCUAACACAUGCAAGUCGAACGAGACCUUCGGGUCUAGUGGCGCACGGGUGCGUAACGCGUGGGAAUCUGCCCAAAGGUUCGGAAUAACUCAGGGAAACUUGAGCUAAUACCGGAUACGCCCUUACGGGGAAAGAUUUAUUGCCGAAGGAACGGCCCGCGUCCGAUUAGCUAGUUGGUGAGGUAAUGGCUCACCAAGGCGACGAUCGGUAGCUGGUCUGAGAGGAUGACCAGCAUCACUGGGACUGAGACACGGCCCAGACUCCUACGGGAGGCAGCAGUGGGGAAUAUUGGACAAUGGGCGCAAGCCUGAUCCAGCCAUGCCGCGUGGAUGAUGAAGGCCUUAGGGUUGUAAGUCUUUAACGGGGAGAUAAUGACGGUACCGUAGAAUAAGCCCGGCUAACUUCGUGCCAGCAGCCGC
This 440-nucleotide ribosomal RNA is filed under the name uncultured bacterium. RNAcentral describes it as "partial small subunit ribosomal RNA". It matches the Rfam family "Bacterial small subunit ribosomal RNA", at positions 26 to 518 of the family's 1533-position model. The record is from RNAcentral.